ACCCGCUGAACUUAAGCAUAUCAAUAAGCGGAGGAAAAGAAAAUAACAAUGAUUCCCCCAGUAACGGCGAGUGAACAGGGAAAAGCUCAAAGUUGGAAGCUCCUGGCCCUAGGCUAGGCGCAUUGUAAACUAAAGCUGUAUAGUAGUUCGGUUGGCCUGGUAAAAAAGUUCCCUGGAAUGGGGCGACAUGGAGGGUGAAAUCCCCGUCUUUGGCCAGAGCUCAGCUGUGCGUUUGCUUUGCUGCGAAGAGUCAGGUUGUUUGGGAAUGCAGCCUAAAAUGGGAGGUAGACUUCUCCUAAAGCUAAAUAUUGACGAAAGACCGAUAGCGAACAAGUACCGUGAGGGAAAGAUGAAAAGCACUUUGAAAAGAGGGUCAAAAAGUACGUGAAAUUGCUAAAAGGGAAUCGUAUGAAAUCAGCCUGAUGUAUGGGUAAUCAGCCUGGGCUUUGGCCUGGGUGCACUUGCCCAUGUAUUAGCCUGCGACAGUUUGACCUGGGGGAAAAAAGAUGGGGGAAUGUGGCCUCGGCUUCGGUCGUGGUGCUAUAGCCCCUGUCAAAAUACCUUGGGUUGGACUGAGGACUGCAGCGAGCCGUAAGGCAUGGGUCUCGGGCGCUCUGUCUCGGCGAAAAGUGAAUCUCUGCCUCGGGUGGUGCGCUUUUCGUCAGGGCAGACCCGUCUGUUUCUUCUUUCUCUCGCUUAGGUCGUAGGCAUAAUGAUUUUAUAUGACCCGUCUUGAAACACGGACC
Molecule: ribosomal RNA, 746 nt
Filed under: Absidia glauca
Lineage: Eukaryota; Fungi; Mucoromycota; Mucoromycetes; Mucorales; Cunninghamellaceae
Description: eukaryotic LSU rRNA
Rfam family: Eukaryotic large subunit ribosomal RNA
Source: RNAcentral